Molecule: ribosomal RNA, 253 nt
Filed under: uncultured bacterium
Lineage: Bacteria
Also listed under: 1 other name
Description: partial 16S ribosomal RNA
Rfam family: Bacterial small subunit ribosomal RNA
Source: RNAcentral
GACGAAGGAUCCAAGCGUUAUCCGGAUUCAUUGGGUUUAAAGGGAGCGUAGGCGGACUUAUAAGUCAGUGGUGAAAGCCGAUAGCUUAACUAUCGAAUUGCCAUUGAUACUGUAGGUCUAGAGUACAGAUGAUGUUGGCGGAAUAUGACAUGUAGCGGUGAAAUGCAUAGAUAUGUCAUAGAACACCGAUUGCGAAGGCAGCUGACAAAACUGUAACUGACGCUGAGGCUCGAAAGUGCGGGGAUCAAACAGG